AGUGAACGCUGGCGGUAGGCCUAACACAUGCAAGUCGAACGGCAGCACAGUAAGAGCUUGCUCUUACGGGUGGCGAGUGGCGGACGGGUGAGGAAUACAUCGGAAUCUACUUUUUCGUGGGGGAUAACGUAGGGAAACUUACGCUAAUACCGCAUACGACCUACGGGUGAAAGCAGGGGAUCUUCGGACCUUGCGCGAUUGAAUGAGCCGAUGUCGGAUUAGCUAGUUGGCGGGGUAAAGGCCCACCAAGGCGACGAUCCGUAGCUGGUCUGAGAGGAUGAUCAGCAACACUGGAACUGAGACACGGUCCAGACUCCUACGGGAGGCAGCAGUGGGGAAUAUUGGACAAUGGGCGCAAGCCUGAUCCAGACAUACCGCGUGGGUGAAGAAGGCCUUCGGGUUGUAAAGCCCUUUUGUUGGGAAAGAAAAGCAGCAGGUUAAUACCCCGCUGUUCUGACGGUACCCAAAGAAUAAGCACCGGCUAACUUCGUG
This 492-nucleotide ribosomal RNA is filed under the name uncultured bacterium. RNAcentral's name for it is "partial 16S ribosomal RNA". It matches the Rfam family "Bacterial small subunit ribosomal RNA", at positions 29 to 507 of the family's 1533-position model. The record is from RNAcentral.